AGUGAACGCUGGCGGUAGGCCUAACACAUGCAAGUCGAACGGCAGCACAGUAAGAGCUUGCUCUUACGGGUGGCGAGUGGCGGACGGGUUAGGAUUACAUCGGAAUCUACUUUUUCGUGGGGGAUAACGUAGGGAAACUUACGCUAAUACCGCAUACGACCUACGGGUGAAAGCAGGGGAUCUUCGGACCUUGCGCGAUUGAAUGAGCCGAUGUCGGAUUAGCUAGUUGGCGGGGUAAAGGCCCACCAAGGCGACGAUCCGUAGCUGGUCUGAGAGGAUGAUCAGCCACACUGGAACUGAGACACGGUCCAGACUCCUACGGGAGGCAGCAGUGGGGAAUAUUGGACAAAGGGCGCAAGCCUGAUCAAGCCAUACCGCGUGGGUGAAGAAGGCCUUCGGGUUGUAAAGCCCUUUUGUUGGGAAAGAAAAGCAGCAGGUUAAUACCCCGCUGUUCUGACGGUACCCAAAGAAUAAGCACCGGCUAACUUCGUG
RNAcentral lists this ribosomal RNA (492 nucleotides) under uncultured bacterium. RNAcentral's name for it is "partial 16S ribosomal RNA". It matches the Rfam family "Bacterial small subunit ribosomal RNA", at positions 29 to 507 of the family's 1533-position model. The record is from RNAcentral.